RNAcentral lists this ribosomal RNA (253 nucleotides) under uncultured bacterium. RNAcentral describes it as "partial 16S ribosomal RNA". It matches the Rfam family "Bacterial small subunit ribosomal RNA", at positions 524 to 776 of the family's 1533-position model. The record is from RNAcentral.
UACGAAGGGGGCUAGCGUUGUUCGGAAUUACUGGGCGUAAAGCGCACGUAGGCGGAUACUUAAGUUAGGGGUGAAAUCCCAGGGCUCAACCCUGGAACUGCCUUUAAUACUGGGUAUCUCGAGUCCGGAAGAGGUGAGUGGAACUCCGAGUGUAGAGGUGAAAUUCGUAGAUAUUCGGAAGAACACCAGUGGCGAAGGCGGCUCACUGGUCCGGUACUGACGCUGAGGUGCGAAAGCGUGGGGAGCAAACAGG